CCUGAUCCAGCAAUGCCGCGUGUGUGAAGAAGGCCUUCGGGUUGUAAAGCACUUUUGUCCGGAAAGAAAUCCUUGGCUCUAAUACAGUCGGGGGAUGACGGUACCGGAAGAAUAAGCACCGGCUAACUACGUGCCAGCAGCCGCGGUAAUACGUAGGGUGCGAGCGUUAAUCGGAAUUACUGGGCGUAAAGCGUGCGCAGGCGGUUUGCUAAGACCGAUGUGAAAUCCCCGGGCUCAACCUGGGAACUGCAUUGGUGACUGGCAGGCUAGAGUAUGGCAGAGGGGGGUAGAAUUCCACGUGUAGCAGUGAAAUGCGUAGAGAUGUGGAGGAAUACCGAUGGCGAAGGCAGCCCCCUGGGCCAAUACUGACGCUCAUGCACGAAAGCGUGGGGAGCAAACAGGAUUAGAUACCCUGGUAGUCCACGCCCUAAACGAUGUCAACUAGUUGUUGGGGAUUCAUUUCCUUAGUAACGUAGCUAACGCGUGAAGUUGACCGCCUGGGGAGUACGGUCGCAAGAUUAAAACUCAAAGGAAUUGACGGGGACCCGCACAAGCGGUGGAUGAUGUGGAUUAAUUCGAUGCAACGCGAAAAACUUACCUACCCUUGACAUGGUCGGAAUCCGCUGAGAGUGGGAGUGUCGAAAA
RNAcentral lists this ribosomal RNA (645 nucleotides) under uncultured bacterium. Its description in RNAcentral is "bacterial SSU rRNA". It matches the Rfam family "Bacterial small subunit ribosomal RNA", at positions 382 to 1022 of the family's 1533-position model. The record is from RNAcentral.